Rattus norvegicus (Norway rat) is the source of this 10203-nucleotide long non-coding RNA. RefSeq lists it as uncharacterized. The record is from RefSeq and is a predicted model, not a curated record. Lineage: Eukaryota; Metazoa; Chordata; Mammalia; Rodentia; Muridae.
CCUGAGGAUGUGGAACCUGGGACCGAGCCUCCCUGUACAAGUGGUGACUUCCCAUCACUGUGGGGCCGCAUGUGUCCCACCUGGCAGAAAGUAGUGCUGGGUGACUCACUACGCAGGAUAAGCAGUGAGCCUGGGGGUGUUGGGACCACGGAUGAUCUACUUUGGGCUUGUCAGUCAAGUGCAGGAGCAGACAGGGCUCACCCACUCAUUUACCCAGUCACAAAGCACAACUUCAGUAACAGACUUAGAGCACUGUAGGAAGUGCAAAGGUGGUUAAGCCUCAGUUCAUCCUCCCUUCCUCCUUCUCUCUUUCUCUGUGUUGAGACAGGGUCUCACUAUGUAGCUCUGGCUGUUCUAGAAGUCUCUAUAUAAAUCAGGCUGGCCUCAAACUUCCAGAGUUCCGCCUGCCUCCACCUCCUGAGUGCUGAGAGUAAAGGGCAUGGUGUGAAAGGGGUGUGAAGGGGAGGAUGGCUUGAGAACAGGCAGAGUAAAGCCUGCCGAGGGGCUGUUUUGCUCUCUUGUGUUGCUGGGGUUCAAAUCUUGGCUAUUUAGUACAUACCGCAAGCAUCUUACCUGCGAGCUGCAUUCCAUAGGAGCUGGGAUCUUAUGUGUAACAAUAAUAAAUUUACAGUAAAAGUAACAGGUACAGUUAUCAGUAAAACCUGGAGGAGCCUUUGAUUCAUUUUUGUUUCUGAGAUAGUCUACUGUCACUCAGACCAACCUUGAACUCACUAUACAGCUAAGGAUGACCUUAAACUUCUGAUCCUUCUGCCUCUAGCUCCUGGGUGCUAGGAAUGAGAUUCAGGGCUUCAUGCAGGCUAGGAAAGUAUGCUGUGGCCAAACCUUACUCUAAAAGGGGUUUAAGCAAGGGAGCAUCAUGAACUUGAAAUGAGCAUCUUGUUACAGGAUAGCAGUAAGUUCAAAGUCCAACAACCCAAAUUUAUAGGGUAGACAGUUAUGGUAAGGGGAGAGCGGAUACAGGAAGACCAGCUAUCAGCUAUGCGAGAGUCCAGGAAAAGGAUGGAGCUGCUGAAUUACAGUGUCAGUGGGCAGUGGGAAGAUGUGGCUCACGGCCGUAGCCAUGACAGCAGUAUAUUACAGAGGCAGUUGCCAGUUUAGGCAAGUAUAGGUAUGAUGAUGGUUUCUCAAAAGUGCUGUCCAGACACUAGCUUAAAGCACUAGCUACCCUGCAGAUGUGCUCUGGUCCUCAGACUACACAUUACUGUGGUGGGGGGCAGGUACCACACUUCCCAGUUUCCUGCACACCCUGUGUAGUUCCCAGGAAGUUCUCUGUGCAGUGGAAGCAAGCAAGAGAAUCCUGUUUACAUAAGGAUAUCAUCAACUAACUUAAGAGUGGCCAGCAAGACAGUUAAGGGAAGGGCCCAGCAUCCUCUCUUUACACAAUUUCUGAGCCUACAGGGCUAGAACUUCAUAGGCAGAAGAGUUAGAAAAAGACAGAGCAGGAAUCCAGUAGGGUCAGCUAGGACCGUGUCUUCCAGUCCCCCUUCUGUUAGGAGGCCAGUGUAUUUCCUCCAAUCGUAGGGUGGUAGGUGAUAUCAGGAAUGCAAGUUACUAGGCAGAGUUCAGCAGCCAGACGUCCUAAUGCGUUGUGCAGUCUCCUCAGCUUCAAGGAGAGCAUCUGUUUAGAGGUCUUACUAGUUAGUGCAGACGCCCAUUGCUGGUGGGGUUCCUUCUGGCUUCAUCACAGGAUCUGCUGACACUAGGAUUCACAUUAUCACAUACUUGAUCUUUCCUGCCUUGACCACAAACUGCUUCCUUGACUGUGUAUAGCUGACGAUGUCUGUGGAAUGCUUCUGGUGUUGAUCUCUGCAAUGACAGACACUGAAUUUUGGAGGUAGCAUCAGAAGAGGUAGGUAAGGGGAGAUGGCCUCCAGGCUGCUAAGGAGAUACAUGGGUGCUGAUCCUUCCCUCCACAUUCCCAUAGCCAUGCCCUAGGCAGGAACAGUAGAUGAGAAUGUGCUUUAGUUCUUCUGCUCACAGCCCACAGGUAACACUUGUGUUUCUACUCAGGGUGAAAUUCCAUUUCCUGUCACCACACGUAGCUUUCAGAGAACUGCACUCCAGUUGAAGAUCAUGGCUUAUUUUUUCCUCAGUGAGUCAUCCUUAUAAAUUUAUCUCUAGAAACAACAUGGUCAGCUCCCCAACUCACGGAGGCCAUGGGACUUCUUUACUUCCACAUUUUCUCACACAGAAUUCAUUUAAAGUUUGAAGUGAGCUGAGUGGUGGUGGCAUACACCUCUAAUGCCAACGUUCCAGAAGUAGGUGGAUCUCUGAGAGCUAGAGGCCAGCCUGGUCUACAGUGUGAGUUCCAGGACCAUCCUCGUGUCCCCCCUCCCCACCACCCCCACCACCAAGAAAAAAUUGAAAUAAAGCCACAGGAGCAGAGUGUGUGUCCUGCACAGCCUGCUGCUUAUAGGAGCGACCUUAAGGUAUAUGGGAGCUGGCCCUUUCCAGUGGACAUCCAUGUCUGCCUCAGACUUCCACAGGCUGCGGUCAGGAUACCUUUGAGAAACUGGAAGAUACUGUGGCCAUGCCACCAUGCCUACCCAUAUUGAAUUGCAGAACCAGGGCUUGGGGCUCUGGUUGUGUAGAAUAUAUUCAAGUUCCCUAUCGUGGGCUGGGGAAGUAGCUGAAUGGUAGAGCAUACGCAGAGCACGCACAAGGCCCUGGUUCACCCUCAAGCACUGCAAAGAAAGGCACAGGUUUUCUGCUGGCUCCAAGACCCUUAUUUCAAAGGAACAGGGCUAUAAAAGUUAUGAAUUUGCUUUAAGCUAGCUUGAGCUAAUUAAGAAGAUAAAGAUGACCUUGAACUUCUGAGCCCUCUCAAAGUGGGGAUUAAAGAUGUGUGCCACCAUGUACAGUUUAUGGGGUGCUGGGAAUCUAAGCUAGGGCUUUGUGUGUCCAAAGCAAGCACUAAUGCCGACUGAGUUACAUCCCUGUUCCCUACUCUGCUGCCGAGGCUGACCUCAAACUCUGGUUCUCCUGCCCUAGCCCCCAGGGUACUGAGAUCAGUUAUAAGCUGUCAUAACCAGCUUAAUUUGAAACCAUGGGGGUUGAGGAGUUGGUAGGGUCAAACAAACCUCCAACCAAAGCUGCCUGGACAAGAGACUGAGGGCUUGUGUUGUGCUGCCCUUUGGUGUAGUCCAGCCCACUGAGAAGGCCCACAUCCUGCUUUAAAAACAAUAAAGAGGGAACAAGAUUUACACUUCCUUCUGCUCCCCCACUGUUUGACUUUCUCAACAGCACCUGUCUCUGUCUGACACACUGCAUCUCAUUUUCAUAUACUGUCUCUUUUUUCUCCUCACAAGGAUACAAACGUUUCGGGAACAAAGCUUUCAUUGCUGUAGCCAAUGUCCAGCCCAGUGGCCGACAGUUAGUAAAGGCUGCACAAAUGCUCAGUGAGGCCAACGUUCCUUCUCCCACUACAGCCAUAUCUUUCCAUGGACUUAGCAGCUGAGAGCUCAGAUGACCAUGGGUCUGUGUCAGUGGCAACUCUCCCAGUGUGGUGGUAAAGGUUUCUCUCCACCUCCAGGUACUGUGUUCAUCUGCAACUCCUCCCCUCCCCCAGUCAGCUUUCCCUCCCCGACCCAGAGAAGUCAGCCUGUUCCUUCAUCUAGAGUUUCCUACCCUCUGCCUUGUGCUGAUAUCAUAUUCCUGAACACAUCUACAAGAGGCUGACAGUAGACACUGGCUUGCCCUGGGAGGCUUCCUGCUCUCUGGCUCUGUCCUUUACCACAGCUCCCCAGCCAGGGCCGACCUGAAGGGCUCAAUAUGGCCAAAAUACUUUCCUGCUGGUCCCAGGUGAGAAAGUAUCUCUUUAGCCAGUUCACAGCAUGUAAACUAAACACUGACUGUUGCUGACAUACUGAGGACAGUGGACUGAGCUCCUCUUUCCUGAUGCAGGAGCCACCAAGCCAAGGAAACUAUCAAAUUCAAGUCCCUGAGAGAGACCUGGUCAGUCUGGGCAGCACUUGCUUUGAGUCUCAGGAUGACCAAACUCCCUUUAGCUCUUCACGAUUCCUUUUUAAUAUUUGAAAAAUAUCAUAUCAAGUUUUGCUUGCAUUUGUAUCUGUGUACCAUGUGUGUGCCUAGUGCUAUAAUGUCAGAAGAGGGAGUUGGACCCCAGGAAUUGGAGUAGAUGGUUGUUGAGUCAUCAUGUGGGUGCUGGGAAUUGAAUUUGGGUCCUGUGCAAGAGUUGCCAAUAUUACUAACUGUGGGGUCAGCUUGCCAGCUUUUUCUUUUUUAAGCCAGGGAUACCUGUAGUCGAGGCUAGUUCUGAAAUGCCUAAGUAGCUGGGGCAGGCCUUGCUCUUUUCCCAAUCUCCUGACUGCUGGGAUUAUAUGCUGGAGGCACCACACCAUGUAUACGGUGUUGGGGAUAGAACCCAAGGCUCUGUGCAGGUUGGGCCAGCAUUCCAGCAGCUGAGCUGCAUCCUCAGCUCUCCAAGGCAGUUUCUGACACCGAUGAUUAGACUCAGGUACUGCUCAAACCCUCACUAAUCUGUUCCUGAGGGCUGAGCCUAUAGGUCUCUACAGCAUGUUGGCUGAUUCAGGAUAGGAACCACUGCUUUUCCAGCCAAGGCAGGAGGAAAGGUCUUGUUCUAUCUACACAGGUUCUGUCAACCGGGCUCAGAAAGUCUCAGGACAUGACAUUGAAGCUGCCUGUCAAGAAGCAGAUACUUGGGCUGGGGAUUUAGCUCAGUGGUAGAGCGCUUACCUAAGAAGCGCAAGGCCCUGGGUUCGGUCCCCAGCUCCAAAAAAAAAAAAAAAAAAAAAAGAAGCAGAUACUUAAAAAGCUUGGGCUCCAAAGAACCACUACAGAGCACCACAUAUUUAACUGUCAGCCUUAUCCUGGGACUUUCUCUGCUCCCACACUUCUGCCAAGCUCUCCAUCGGCGGAAAAUCAGGACAGUAUACCAGUAAUUCCAGUACUAGAAGGCUCAGGCAUUCUGGGUUUGAGGCUUGCUUGGGCUGUGUAGUGAGACCCUGUCUUAAAACCCAGACAAUUAGGGGUAAAAAGCUGUGUGUAAACUCAACCUCCAGUCUGUAGCCUUCUCUUGUCUCUAGUAAGAUCCAUGUACAGGCUGCUGUUCUUAGAGCACGGAGAACAGGCGCUGUGGGUUUGUAGGAAAAGCAGGUACAGAAGGGGUGACUGCUGCUAGACCUCGAUAAAUAGACUCUAAUACAGAGCCCUUCCAUUGGCCCACCCCUGCUGAAGGCUAUGAGAAGGAAGACUGGAUCCCUUCUGGGUUCUUUCUCUUUAUUAUUCCUCAUAUGCUGUCUUUCAUCUGAAACCCAAAGUAGUCUUGUCAUAAUAAACAUGACAGGACUGACUAAAAGAGAACAUGGAGGGAAGGUCACAGGGUCCCUUACACCAUGCAGGAGGUCCUGGGUACUCGCUCUACAGAAGACCCAAACCCUAAUAACAGAGCUGGAAAGGUAUCCAUAGUUCAACUAUGUCCCCACUGAGAGGAGAGGGAAUCCACUUUUCUCAGCUCAAAGGAUGCUUCCCAGACCUCAGCUUCCUACCCCUGUCUUUCUGGAAGUCAAGGACUGUGGGACGGAAGGGUGUCUCAAGGUCACUCGUGUGUGUGUGUGUGUGUGUGUGUGUGUGUGAGUGUGUGUGUGUGUGUGUUGUGCUGACAGUGACAAAGAAUUAGGCUGGUGUUCAGGUAAAUUCUGGUACCCACCUUGAGUUCUUUAGCAGGUCCCACUUCUAACUCCUUUGCCACCCAUAGGGCUUACUGGGGUGGGAAUGGGGAUAAACUUCUGUUAAGCCAGGGAACAGAACACAAAACCUUCCUGGGAACGACUGCCCUUAGAAACAGAAAAAGACGAAACAAAACAAACCCACUGUACUACCAAGUCUUUGAGGUAUUAUGCCUUUUGUUCCUGAGGUGAUGGUGGUUAAAGGAGGCCGGACGUGGCUGCUGCCCUGGUGAAAAGUCCACUGCAGGAAGGAGCCACAGACACACCUUGGAGGCCUCAGGGCUGAGCCUGGAGUAAGCUCCACACGCGGCGGACGCCACGUCCCCAGCUCCGCCCACGCGAGCUUCGCGGGGAACCCCGGUGACGUCACCACCCGCAGCGCCCUCCUUCCCGCGCUCUCCAGAAAGGACGCGAAGGUGGUGACGUGUCCGGAGCGCCAGCGCGGCUGCGCACAAGGCGCGUGACCAACCUGCGGCGCCGCCUGGCGGAAGAACAGCGGCGGUGUGGCUGGAAGCGAUGUGCGGCGGCAGCGUGGUAACGUCAUAUCGCGGGGCCACGUGAACGCAUGCUGCUUCGGCUUCCCUUCUGCUAGUGUGGGCGGAAACGUGGCUUCAAGCCUUGCAUUACUUGGCCUCCUGAAACAGCCUGACGUCGUCCGGCUGCUGGUUAUGGGAAGUUUGAAGACCAGGAAACAUAGAGACUGCGUACUCAUCCCCUGCCUUUGUCAGCAACCGAAAUUGUGUCUUAGGACGGUACCGAAAGCACCAUCUCCAGCAACAUGAGCAGAUAACAUGUGAUGCUGUCUUUACGCAGACGAGGAAUUCACGAAUUAGUCCAUUUCUACAGUAUCCGGAGUCCCACAGGAGCGCAUUCCAGACCGCAGCCAAAGCUGCUGGACCCACACCAAGUCGUAGAGGGGAAAGCAGGAAGGAAGUCAGUCAUGCACCCAGUUGGAAACCGACCUUGUUUUUUGAAGUGCAGUUUUCCCACAUAGCACUUCAUACAGUGUCUGGGUCCUUGGACCUUACCCUGGGGCUUACAAUUUAGAUAGACACUUUUUGUUGAGCAGGUUGGAGCUGGGCGUUUCUGUCAAUUGCAAUUAAGAGGUUUUUGAAAAAUAUUUAUUUAUUAUAUGUAAGUACAAUGUAGCUGUCUUCAGACACACCAGAAGAGGGCAUCAGAUCUCAUUACAGAUGGUUUUUGAGCCACCAUGUGGCUGCUGGGAUUUGAACUCAGGACCUCUGGAAGAGCAGUCAGUGCUCUUAACCACUGAGCCAUCUUCCCAGCCCCCAACAAUUAAGAGAGUUUUAUACAACAUUCCUAUUCAAGGGCUGGAGAGAUGACUCGGCAGUUAGGAGUAUUGACUAUCAGAGGACCUGUGUUCCCAGCAUCUCCAUGAUGGCUCUCAAUCAUCCCUAACUCAAGCUGCAAGUGCUUCAACCUUUUCUGAUUUCCCAGGGUACCAGGCACCCAUGUGUUCAUACAUACAUGUAGGCAAAGCAUGACAGAAAACCCCCCUGCAUAUCAAACUAAUAUAUUUCAAGUUGAAAGAAUAUAUUCACAGAAGUAAACUAAACAUAAUUUUAGUACUGUGUAGAAAUCGAUCUGUAGCCCCAGUCGGCCUGUGGGAAGAGUAAUGUCUAUAACCCGGGGGAAAAUGAAGACUCAAUGAGAAAACUGACUGGAGUUAAGUGUAAACAGAAGUCGUGGCAGGUGUGCAGGAAAUGUUUCAUUCUCUACUAGAAGGCAAAUUUUAUCCACCAUCUCUGUUCUGUGAUGAGUGAACCUAGAACUAGGUUUUGAAUUUUACCAGCUGCUUCAACAAAAAAUCCCAGGUUCUCCCUUUGUAGUUCUUUUUUUUUUUUUUUUUUUCUUUUUUCUAUUUUUGGAGCUGGGGACCGAGCCCAGGGCCCUAGCAAGUGCUCUACCGCUGAGCUAAAUGGCCAGCCCUCCCUUUGUAGCUCUUGAAGUACUGGAACUCACGGCCCACUUUUUCCUGCUGACUACAAGAUAAAUUCUCCCAAAGGUUCUAAUUGUAAAAUCAUGACAUCGAUGGUUUGGAAAAACUAGUGACAUUGUACUUUAUUUGUUAUCAGGAUAAAGAGUAUGAUUGGAGCUCUCAGGCAGAGAGAGAGAGAGGAUUCUGCUCGGCCCAGGGCACCAUUAACUUUCCAACACUGUUAGCUAAGAUCCAGUGCUGUGACUUUAGAGAAUUACAGAAAACAAGCUGCAGGUGACUCCAGGAGAAACCAGUGAGCUGGACUUUUGUAAAACUCUGGUCAGAAAUAAGUGUCCAAUUUGUAACGAAGACUGUACACACAAGGCUGUUUACAAAAGUCUUCUGCAGAACACACACGGAUGGGCUGAGUAACUGCAUCUUAGCCAAGUGCGGUUCAUCGGCAGGGAUUAUAGAAGUGCUACUAGGAUUUACAGUCCUCAGCAGUUGGGAUGUGCAAACUCUGCAAAAUACUCUUGAUUUGCCUCAAGGGAAAGUGAUAGUAGUCAGAGGGGCCAGCUCCAAAGGCUGGUCCAUGGGUGGCCUCGGGUCCUGGUAAUCAGCCACAUGUCCGUUCCGGUGAUGACCAUACUCAAACUUGAUUCGAAGCUCACCAAUCUUGGAUUGUGGGAGGAUAUCUGGGAUCCACUCGAUGAUAAAGGGUGUUGGCUCCUUUUGAUCUGGGGAAGUGUUCCCUACAGAGGGAAAGGUGCAGGCCAGUUAGUAUGGGUCCACCUGACUCUUUGCCUUUGCUUUUGUUUCUUUCUAGACAGGGUCUUCACUGGAGCUCAGGAUGUCCUCCUAUUUACUGUGUAGCAUAUAACUCCUCUAGGUGUAGCUGGCAAGAUGGCUCAACAUAAAGCAGGCGUGGGGACACAAGCCUGGCAACCUGAGUUCAACCUGAGUUCAAGCUCCCGAACCAGCUCCAACAAGUUGUCCUCUGAGCUCCUCCAUAUACAUAGAUGUACACACCACUGUGGAAGUAAGCUGAAUAAACCCUUUCCUCCAAACUUGCUUCUUGGCCAUGAUGUUUGUGCAGGAAUAGAAACCCUGACUAACACCACCCCCCACCCCUCCCCCCUUUUGUGGCUGUCUUUCUCUGUGUAGCCCUCACUGUUCUGGAACUAGCUCUGUGGACCAGGCUCACGUGCUUCUAGAGUGCUGGGUUUAAAAGCAUUUACCACCACCCUGAGUUUGUAACACAUUCUUAACAAAGGAGGAGGCAGGGUAACCAAAAUUCUAAUGCAGAACAUUUUACUCUGUUCAGCUUUAAAUAAUUUAAAUAAGAAGCCAAAACUGGGCUUAGUUGCCCACACCUGCAAUCCCAGCACUCUUUGGAUGCAGACAAGUGGAUCUCUGUGAGCUGGAGGCUGGUCUGGCCUACAAAGCAAGUUCCAGGCCAGGCCAGCCAGGAUUACAUAGUAAGACCCUGUCACAACCAAUGCUGCAAAAGAAACAAAAAGAACAGGGCCAACAAACGUUAGUGGUUAAGGGCACUUUCAGGGAGCUCUUGGUGGAAGGGGAGAACCGACCUUUGCAAGCUGUCAUCUAUCUGUGUCCAAUAGUACUCUACCCCAUCCCCAUUAUAUCAAAUGUAAAGAAAGUCACAAAUUAGAAACAAGUGUCCAGGGAUUAACUGCCCAGGUGGAACGUGCACCAAACAGAGAAUAAGUAGCCCCGAUGGGGUUAAGAAAGGAAAGAGAACUAGAGGAAUGAAAGGAAGAGCAGCCAGUGCUGCUGUAACCAUUCAGAAGGUAACUUCAGGGGCCAGUGAGGGGACUAGGUUAAAGGCACAUGAUGGCCUGAUCUUCAUGGUGCAAGGGGAGAAUCAACUCCCACAGUUUGACCUGGGACCUCUCUCUAGAUGCUCACUGUGACUUUAUACGCCUACCCCACUGCUGGUUUUAUGACACAGAGCAGCAAGCCUGUGGGAAGAGAAACCAGCAAGGAAGGGUCAAGCUCAGACAUAGUCAAAUCUGCAUGGUUCCACAGCACAGUUCAACCCCACUAUGCACCGCAGUACUGGCUGGAGAGGACACAGAUUAAUGGCAUUUCCUACCAGUAAAAAAACACAAGGAAGCAUGUUUCAUUUUUCUGAGACAGGGUCUCUGUCUUGGCUGGCCUGGAACUCACAGAUCUGCCUGCGUCUGCCAUCUGAAUGUAUCUGUUUAAAAGCAAGUUCCACCUCAACUAACUCAGUAAAAGUUUCUUAUAUCAAAUAUUGAACACCGAGUGAAGAUCUGGAAGAGAAGAGAAGAUGGUUAAACUUAGAAUAAACUUCAGAAGGGGUUGGGGAUUUGGCUCAGUGGUAGAGCACUUGCCUAGCAACCACAAGGCCCUGGGUUCGGUCCCCAGCUCCGAAAAAAAGAAAAAAAAAAAAAAGGUAGAGUAAACUUCAGAGAUCACAUUUACAUGUGAUAAGUAUGUAGGCUAGCCUCUGCUAUGCUCCUUUUAUCUACAAUAAACCUUCAUACUUAA